GGGGGAACCCUGAUCAGCCAUGCCGCGUGAGUGAAGAAGGCCUUAGGGUUGUAAAGCUCUUUCGCCUGUGACGAUGAUGACGGUAGCAGGAGAAGAAGCCCCGGCUAAUUCCGUGCCAGCAGCCGCGGUAAU
Molecule: ribosomal RNA, 132 nt
Filed under: uncultured bacterium
Lineage: Bacteria
Description: partial 16S ribosomal RNA
Rfam family: Bacterial small subunit ribosomal RNA
Source: RNAcentral